This is a long non-coding RNA of Homo sapiens (human), 467 nucleotides long. Ensembl annotates it as NLGN1 antisense RNA 1. Its record names the gene NLGN1-AS1. The record is from Ensembl. NCBI's taxonomy places the organism in Eukaryota, Metazoa, Chordata, Mammalia, Primates, Hominidae.
CCUUAAAUAGAGUGUUAUGAGCUACUGACUCUUAAACUUUGAGCUUCAGAGGAAGUUAACAGCAAGUCUGAUGACUCAUAUGCAUUCUCACAUGCUUGAAGGUGGCUGAAGAUGAAAAUAGCCGAACUAGCAGCAAUUGUUUUAAAAACCGCAAGGAUUAUUCGCCGUUGAAAAUAAAAUCUUGUGCUCCAUUCAAGUACAGGCACAUCUUCUAAGGAACACCACCACACAAAUUAUCAUACCCAUUUUAUGGAUGACGAAGAACACUUGGAGAAGAUAAGAAAAUGGCCACAGUUACAAUGAGAUCAAAACAGCUCAAUCUUAAAAUCAAGUCUCUCACUCCAAAUGGAGAUUUUUAUGCUACAUUAUUACCAAAAUAAUUUUGUUUCUCUUUUCCUCAAGGAAGCACACAUUUGCUGUGAGCAUUAUAUAUUACUUAUUAAAAUUUAGUGAUUUUAGAAUCGUAA